UUUAUGGAGAGUUUGAUCCUGGCUCAGGAUGAACGCUGGCGGCGUGCCUAAUACAUGCAAGUCGAGCGAACGGACGAGAAGCUUGCUUCUCUGAUGUUAGCGGCGGACGGGUGAGUAACACGUGGAUAACCUACCUAUAAGACUGGGAUAACUUCGGGAAACCGGAGCUAAUACCGGAUAAUAUUUUGAACCGCAUGGUUCAAAAGUGAAAGACGGUCUUGCUGUCACUUAUAGAUGGAUCCGCGCUGCAUUAGCUAGUUGGUAAGGUAACGGCUUACCAAGGCAACGAUGCAUAGCCGACCUGAGAGGGUGAUCGGCCACACUGGAACUGAGACACGGUCCAGACUCCUACGGGAGGCGCAGUAGGGAAUCUUCCGCAAUGGGCGAAAGCCUGACGGAGCAACGCCGCGUGAGUGAUGAAGGUCUUCGGAUCGUAAAACUCUGUUAUUAGGGAAGAACAUAUGUGUAAGUAACUGUGCACAUCUUGACGGUACCUAAUCAGAAAGCCACGGCUAACUACGUGCCAGCGUACCGCGGUAAUACGUAGGUGGCAAGCGUUAUCCGGAAUUAUUGGGCGUAAAGCGCGCGUAGGCGGUUUUUUAAGUCUGAUGUGAAAGCCCACGGCUCAACCGUGGAGGGUCAUUGGAAACUGGAAAACUUGAGUGCAGAAGAGGAAAGUGGAAUUCCAUGUGUAGCGGUGAAAUGCGCAGAGAUAUGGAGGAACACCAGUGGCGAAGGCGACUUUCUGGUCUGUAACUGACGCUGAUGUGCGAAAGCGUGGGGAUCAAACAGGAUUAGAUACCCUGGUAGUCCACGCCGUAAACGAUGAGUGCUAAGUGUUAGGGGGUUUCCGCCCCUUAGUCUUUGCGACUAACGCAUUAAGCACUCCGCCUGGGGAGUACGACCGCAAGGUUGAAACUCAAAGGAAUUGACGGGGACCCGCACAAGCGGUGGAGCAUGUGGUUUAAUUCGAAGCAACGCGAAGAACCUUACCAAAUCUUGACAUCCUUUGACAACUCUAGAGAUAGAGCUUUCCCCUUCGGGGGACAAAGUGACAGGUGGUGCAUGGUUGUCGUCAGCUCGUGUCGUGAGAUGUUGGGUUAAGUCCCGCAACGAGCGCAACCCUUAAGCUUAGUUGCCAUCAUUAAGUUGGGCACUCUAAGUUGACUGCCGGUGACAAACCGGAGGAAGGUGGGGAUGACGUCAAAUCAUCAUGCCCCUUAUGAUUUGGGCUACACACGUGCUACAAUGGACAAUACAAAGGGCAGCGAAACCGCGAGGUCAAGCAAAUCCCAUAAAGUUGUUCUCAGUUCGGAUUGUAGUCUGCAACUCGACUACAUGAAGCUGGAAUCGCUAGUAAUCGUAGAUCAGCAUGCUACGGUGAAUACGUUCCCGGGUCUUGUACACACCGCCCGUCACACCACGAGAGUUUGUAACACCCGAAGCCGGUGGAGUAACCUUUUAGGAGCUAGCCGUCGAAGGUGGGACAAAUGAUUGGGGUGAAGUCGUAACAAGGUAGCCGUAUCGGAAGGUGCGGCUGGAUCACCUCCUUU
Molecule: ribosomal RNA, 1553 nt
Filed under: Staphylococcus aureus
Lineage: Bacteria; Bacillati; Bacillota; Bacilli; Caryophanales; Staphylococcaceae
Description: 16S ribosomal RNA
Rfam family: Bacterial small subunit ribosomal RNA
Source: RNAcentral